AGCGAACGCUGGCGGCAGGCUUAACACAUGCAAGUCGAGCGGGCGUAGCAAUACGUCAGCGGCAGACGGGUGAGUAACGCGUGGGAACAUACCUCUUGGUUCGGAACAACACAGGGAAACUUGUGCUAAUACCGGAUAAGCCCUUACGGGGAAAGAUUUAUCGCCGAGAGAUUGGCCCGCGUCUGAUUAGCUAGUUGGUGAGGUAACGGCUCACCAAGGCGACGAUCAGUAGCUGGUCUGAGAGGAUGAUCAGCCACAUUGGGACUGAGACACGGCCCAAACUCCUACGGGAGGCAGCAGUGGGGAAUAUUGGACAAUGGGCGCAAGCCUGAUCCAGCCAUGCCGCGUGAGUGAUGAAGGCCCUAGGGUUGUAAAGCUCUUUUGUGCGGGAAGAUAAUGACGGUACCGCAAGAAUAA
RNAcentral lists this ribosomal RNA (417 nucleotides) under uncultured bacterium. Its description in RNAcentral is "bacterial SSU rRNA". It matches the Rfam family "Bacterial small subunit ribosomal RNA", at positions 29 to 489 of the family's 1533-position model. The record is from RNAcentral.